UACCAGCUCUCCGAGUUGUAGGGAUGAUUAUUGGGCUUAAAGCGUCCGUAGCCGGCUUAGCAAGUCUCCUGUUAAAUUCAGCGACCUAAUCGUUGAGCCGCGGGAGAUACUACUAGGCUAGGAGGCGGGAGAGGUCGACGGUACUUUCGGGGUAGGGGUGAAAUCCUAUAAUCCCGGGAGGACCACCAGUGGCGAAGGCUGUCGACUAGAACGCGCUCGACGGUGAGGGACGAAAGCUGGGGGAGCGAACCGGAUUAGAUACCCGGGUAGUCCCAGCUGUAAACGAUGCGGGCUAGGUGUUGGGGUGGCUACGGGCCACUUCAGUGCCGCAGGAAAGCCAUUAAGCCCGCCGCCUGGGGAGUACGGCCGCAAGGCUGAAACUUAAAGGAAUUGGCGGGGGAGCACCACAAGGCGUGAAGCUUGCGGUUC
RNAcentral lists this ribosomal RNA (429 nucleotides) under uncultured archaeon. RNAcentral describes it as "bacterial SSU rRNA". It matches the Rfam family "Archaeal small subunit ribosomal RNA", at positions 474 to 903 of the family's 1478-position model. The record is from RNAcentral.